RNAcentral lists this ribosomal RNA (484 nucleotides) under uncultured bacterium. RNAcentral's name for it is "partial 16S ribosomal RNA". It matches the Rfam family "Bacterial small subunit ribosomal RNA", at positions 30 to 507 of the family's 1533-position model. The record is from RNAcentral.
AUUGAACGCUGGCGGCAGGCCUAACACAUGCAAGUCGAGCGGAUGAAGGGAGCUUGCUCCUGGAUUCAGCGGCGGACGGGUGAGUAAUGCCUAGGAAUCUGCCUGGUAGUGGGGGAUAACGUCCGGAAACGGGCGCUAAUACCGCAUACGUCCUGAGGGAGAAAGUGGGGGAUCUUCGGACCUCACGCUAUCAGAUGAGCUUAGGUCGGAGUAGCUAGUUGGUGGGGUAAAGGCCUACCAAGGCGACGAUCCGUAACUGGUCUGAGAGGAUGAUUAGUCACACUGGAACUGAGACACGGUCCAGACUCCUACGGGAGGCAGCAGUGGGGAAUAUUGGACAAUGGGCGAAAGCCUGAUCCAGCCAUGCCGCGUGUGUGAAGAAGGUCUUCGGAUUGUAAAGCACUUUAAGUUGGGAGGAAGGGCAGUAAGUUAAUACCUUGCUGUUUUGACGUUACCAACAGAAUAAGCACCGGCUAACUUCGUG